Biomphalaria glabrata is the source of this 1963-nucleotide RNA transcript. RefSeq lists it as uncharacterized. The transcript has 5 exons. The record is from RefSeq and is a predicted model, not a curated record. Lineage: Eukaryota; Metazoa; Mollusca; Gastropoda; Planorbidae.
CGCAUUUUUUUACAACAGUAUUGACGACUUGUUUACAUCGCACUAAACACUAAAGGUUUCACUUACAACAGCAUACUAUAGUAAUAGUGGGAAGAAAUAGUUGACAUUAAAACAAAUCUACUGAACAAACAAACGGUAAGAUGAACGACGCUGACAUGCAGACGAGGCAAGAGGCGUCUCUCUCAAGUCUCCCAGUAGAAACACUUGAACAUAUAUUUAGCUUCCUGCACAGAGAUGAUCUUCUACAGGCCAUGUCUGUGUGCACAACCUGGAAGUCUUUAAUCUCUAGCAGUCCAAAUCUGUGGUGUAGCCAAGCAUUCACUUUUGAUUGUGCUCUUCACUAUUCCAAAAAGAACAAAGUUGACAUGUUGUUUUGUGCACAAACCUUUGGGCCUCGUUUUCAAAAUCUUUCAGUUAAGUGCCAACAUUCUGUCCUGCAUGAAUGCAGUAGACCGGCUGAUCAGUUUAAACUACUCCUUACCGGUUUUUUCGCGUCUUCACUGACUUCCUUCAAAGUCUUCGACCUUCGAAUGUACAACACCAGUAGGAUAGUCGUCAAACAAAUAUGUAACAAAUUGACUCAAAUGUUCGCUGGGGACUGUCAUCUAAAGGUCUUUGAGAUGCCCAUCGCCCACUGGUCAAACUUAGAGGGUCAGAAGGUCUUGGACGCUGUGUUUCAAAAUUCAAAAAACACUCUAGAAACACUGAGUAUUCCUGAAUACUUUAUCAGUGAGACUGGCAUACCUGUGGACAUGGAUUGGUUUGCAAAUGGGCUGACGUCAUUAACAAGGUUAACCAAACUUUCUAUCACUCUAUUCUAUCUUACCGAUGAACUUAUUGUCUCCCUUGCUCACUCCAGAAGAGGUGAACUGGCACAUCUAACUUUGUGGACAAACUGUGUAUUUCCGAUAUCUCCAUUUAUACAACAGGAUAGCUGGAUACAUCUGACACAAGCAUGUCCAAAUAUGAAAGUGGAAUUCAGGAUCGUCGGUUUUGUUUCCGAACCACAUUUGUCACUUCCCCCGUUAUUUGAUUCAGUACUUUCAGUCAGCAAAAUAAAAAUACUAUUAAGUCAGAAAUGUUGCCCGCAUCCGUGUCCUUUACAAAAUAUGGAUAUCGUUCUGGACCACAUCAGAAAUCAUUACUGUAUUCCUCAAUGUGUUCCUAGUUCUUUGAAAUACUCAUUUACGUCUGAGCUCUCUGAGAGCAGGGCAAGAAGAGCCGCAUCAUCAGCGAAUUUUGUGAAGGAGCAACAAGAACUAUCGGAUUGAAAAUCAUUGGUGUACAAAAUGAACCACAAUGGCGAUGUUACAGCCCCCUGGGGCGCCCCUGUGUUAACUAUGCGUUCAUUAGAUAUAACAUUGUUUACCCUAACCCUCUGAGCUCUCUGGGUCAAAAAUUCGUUAGCCCAUAGUAUUAUGUAUGGACUAAUCUGCAACGCUUUCAUCUUUUCAAUGAGUAAAUGAAGUUGUAUAGUGUUAAAAGCUGAUGAGAAAUCCAUAAAGAGCAAUCUUACAUAAGUGUUCGGUUAACACUCAAGAGUUUCACUCUAGCAGUUCUCAACAUUAGGAGAACAAACUUUGACCAGUCUUUGAUCAAGUUAAUUAGGGAUUGUCCACGUCUGAUCAAUGUUAAGAUUCUAGCAGCCUACGACUCUGGCGAUACAGCAGAAACAAUUGAGAAGAUUGUCACCGAGCGCCAGCCACUUUUCACUAGCAAAGGUGGACACACUAAAAAAGUUUGCAUUGACAGCCAGGCUAUGGACAAAGCCUGUCAAACCGAGUACCUCCUGAUUUCAAAAAGCGUCUCAACAAUAAGCUGAACACGUGAAUUUAUAGUUUAUCUGCAAAUGUAACAGCAAACGCUCAAAGUAAACGGGCAGUGGCGUUCCUGGUGGGUGUGGAGGGGGUACACUUGUACGCAGUCAUUUUAUGAAAUAUAAAAUAAAUGACAGUAGCAAGAU